Small nuclear RNA from Nicotiana attenuata, 104 nucleotides. Lineage: Eukaryota; Viridiplantae; Streptophyta; Magnoliopsida; Solanales; Solanaceae. The record is from Rfam.
UUCCCCUUCGGGGACAUAUGAUAAAAUUGAACCGAUACAAAGAAGAUUAGCAUGGACCCAGUGCAAGGAUAAUACGCACAAAUCGAGAAAUGAUCCAAAUUAUA